This 506-nucleotide ribosomal RNA is filed under the name uncultured bacterium. RNAcentral's name for it is "partial 16S ribosomal RNA". It matches the Rfam family "Bacterial small subunit ribosomal RNA", at positions 29 to 523 of the family's 1533-position model. The record is from RNAcentral.
AGUGAACGCUGGCGGUAGGCCUAACACAUGCAAGUCGAACGGCAGCACAGAGGAGCUUGCUCCUUGGGUGGCGAGUGGCGGACGGGUGAGGAAUACAUCGGAAUCUACUCUGUCGUGGGGGAUAACGUAGGGAAACUUACGCUAAUACCGCAUACGACCUACGGGUGAAAGCAGGGGAUCUACGGACCUUGCGCGAUUGAAUGAGCCGAUGUCGGAUUAGCUAGUUGGCGGGGUAAAGGUCCACCAAGGCGACGAUCCGUAGCUGGUCUGAGAGGAUGAUCAGCCACACUGGAACUGAGACACGGUCCAGACUCCUACGGGAGGCAGCAGUGGGGAAUAUUGGACAAUGGGCGCAAGCCUGAUCCAGCCAUACCGCGUGGGUGAAGAAGGCCUUCGGGUUGUAAAGCCCUUUUGUUGGGAAAGAAAUCCAUCUGGUUAAUACCCGGAUGGGAUGACGGUACCCAAAGAAUAAGCACCGGCUAACUUCGUGCCAGCAGCCGCCGUAA